CUCAAAGGAAUUGACGGGGGCCCGCACAAGCGGCGGAUUAUGUGGAUUAAUUCGAUGCAACGCGAAAAACCUUACCUGGCCUUGACAUGUACGGAACUUUCCAGAGAUGGAUUGGUGCCCGAAAGGGAACCGGAACACAGGUGCUGCAUGGCUGUCGUCAGCUCGUGUCGUGAGAUGUUGGGUUAAGUCCCGCAACGAGCGCAACCCUUGCCAUUAAUUGCCAUCAUUUANUUGGGCACUUUAAUGGGACUGCCGGUGACAAACCGGAUGAAGGUGGGGAUGACACUCAAGUCCUCAUGGCCCUUAUGGCCAGGGCUUCACACGUAAUACAAUGGUCGGUACAGAGGGUUGCCAACCCGCGAGGGGGAGCCAAUCCCAUAAAGCCGAUCGUAGUUCGGAUUGCAGUCUGCAACUCGACUGCAUGAAGUCGGAAUCGCUAGUAAUCGCGGAUCAGCAUGUCGCGGUGAAUACGUUCCCGGGCCUUGUACACACCGUCCGUCACACCAUGGGAGUUGGUUCCACCAGAAGUAGGUAGUCUACCGCAAGGAGGACGCUUACCACGGUGGGGUUCAUGACUGGGUGAAGACGUACAGGUAGCCGCCUGGGAGGUGCGGUGGAUACCUCUUCUAGAGAA
RNAcentral lists this ribosomal RNA (634 nucleotides) under uncultured bacterium. Its description in RNAcentral is "bacterial SSU rRNA". It matches the Rfam family "Bacterial small subunit ribosomal RNA", at positions 900 to 1533 of the family's 1533-position model. The record is from RNAcentral.